Molecule: non-coding RNA, 370 nt
Organism: Arvicanthis niloticus (Nile rat)
Lineage: Eukaryota; Metazoa; Chordata; Mammalia; Rodentia; Muridae
Source: the annotation of a RefSeq genome assembly
AUGGAAUGCUUGAGUCUUGUGUACCUGUUGACAGCCCUUCCUGGUAUUCUUUCCGAUGUGCAACUUCAGGAGUCAGGACCUGGCAUUGUGAAACCUUCUCAGACACUGUCACUCACCUGCUCUGUCACUGGCUACUCCAUCACUAGUGGUUAUUACUGGCACUGGAUCUGGCAGUUUCCAGGAAAUAAAAUGGAGUGGAUGGGUGACAUAAGCUCUGGUGGUAGCACUGACUACAACCCAUCUCUCAAAAGUCGAAUCUCCAUCACUAGAGACACAUCCAAGAACCAAUACUUUCUGCAGUUGAACUCUGUGACUACUGAGGACACAGCCACAUAUUACUGUGCAAGAGACACAGUGUGGAGUCUCCAGU